Molecule: long non-coding RNA, 3623 nt
Filed under: Drosophila guanche
Lineage: Eukaryota; Metazoa; Arthropoda; Insecta; Diptera; Drosophilidae
Source: RNAcentral
CCGCCAGCUGCUGCACACCUCACACCACCCAUCACGGCUCGCACCAACGAAACGAAUGCACUUCUUAACCAGACGCCUAUAAUGUCCACGCUGGAGAAUCCGAGCGCUGUGCAGCUGAGACGUGUCUCUCCCCUGGGCGAGGUUAACCUGGAUGACAGUUUGGCCGUCCUCGGUGCCACAAACACUAGUGGCGUACCCACCUCACUAGAACUCCCAAUUACCGUAACGAAUCCGGCUAUAGCUCACCGCGUGACAGCUCCCAUAGCGGAAAUUGUGCAGUUAGCUCCCUUUCAGUAGAAAAUACAUAUAUCGCCAAGAAUUUGUUUCCCCUAUUGAUUAUUUUUUUCAUACACAUUAGAGUUUUUCUAAGCCUUAGUAGAUGUAACGGAAGUAUCUUAUGUUGACCGUAAAGGAGCCAGAUAAGUUAUUUUUUUAACGUUGUGCUUGUUUAAUACAACAUAAAGAACCGAAGAAUAUGUCAUACAUUGUUAUACCCGGUACUCGAAGAGUAAAUAGGGUAUAUUGUAUUUGUGUGAAUAACUGUUGUAUGUAACGCACAGAAGGAAGCGAUUUCGACCCCAUAAAGUUUAUACAUUCUUGAUCAGCAUCAAUAGCCGAGUCGAUAGAGCCAUGUCUGUCUGUCCGUCCGUCCGUCUGUCCGUCUGUCCGUCUUGUUUGUCGGCUAGUUCUCACAGCCUAUAAGAGCUAAAGUUAGCAAAUGUUGGCUCCGGACUGCUGUUUGCUCACACCGAAACCAGUGCAUUUCAAAAAUUAGCCCCGCCCCCUUCCGCCCCCGCAAAAGGGCGAAAACCUACAAAAGCUACAAUUUUGAAGAUAAAAUAAAACAUUCCGUAGGGAAUGGCCAUAUCUAUCAUAGCACCAAAUUGGGACCCGAUUGGAUGAUUAUUAUAGCCAGAAUGAAGAAAUUAAUUUGCAGUGGCUAAGCCCACCCUGUCCCGCAGCUUUUGUUGUUCAUUUUACAUUCUCUCAUUCACACUCUGCUUCUGCUUCACUCGGCCCCUGCCUCUGCCCUCCCCUUGCCGAUGCCUCUUCCGACUUUUAACCCACCCCGUCCCGCAGCUUAUAGUUCUAUUUUUUUUUUUUUGUUUGUGCGGGCGCUGCCUCUCCCUCUGCCGCGAGUCUGCAGUAUGUGGGACUAGGGAAGGGCGCCGAGCGUGUUGGUGUGAGAAGUGUUGUAGAUGUAGAUGACAGUUGAAGAAAAAAUUUAAAAUUUGACAAAACACCGCUAAGGUGCAGAUGUAGUACUGAGUGCCGGGUAUAAAAGUUGUGACGCGUAAGAAGCGUCUCACACGUCCCUUCUCGUUAGUUUUCUUUUAUCUUCAAAAUUGUAGAUUUGGGAGGUUUUCGCCCCUUUGCGGGGGCGGAAGGGAACGUGGCUCAUUUUUGAAAUACACUUGUAACAGUCUGAGCAUACAGAAGUCUGAAUGCAAAAUUUGGUGGCUCUAGCUUUUGGGGUCGCUGAGAUCCAGGCGCUCAACAAGACGGACGGACAGACGGGCAGACAGACAUGGCUCAAUCGACUCGGCUAUUGUUGCUGAUCACGAAUAUAUAUACUUUAUGGUGUCGGAAACAUUUCCUUCUGUGUGUUACAUACAUUCACUUUGUGUACAAAUACAAUAUACCCUAUUUAUUCUUCGAGUACCGGGUAUAAAUAGAUAAAAGAUAUAAAUGCCAUUCCGUAGGAAAGAACCAUAUCUAUCAGAUCACCGAAGUGGGAUCAGAUUUAAUCAAUGUUAAAGCCAGAAUGACAGACAGACAUGCCUCAAUCGACUCGGCUAUUGAUGCUGAUCAAGAAUAUAUAAGUUAACACAUAAGAAAUAACGUGUAAGAAAUUAAGAACGAAUGUUCAUGUGUUCAGAACAGUACAGAAUCAAUUUAAAAACGAUCCAGCCAUGAUAAAAGCGUUAGUAGAAGGCGCAAUCAACACAGCCCUGGUCGAACAGGAACGACGACUGAGUGCAGAAUUUGGCAGGGAACUCGAAAAAGUUAGAAAUAGUGUGAGCGCCCUAACUUUAGGUGUCCCUCAGGUGGAAACUUAUAAGAGAGUGACCAUUGACACUAAUAUAAAAUGUGAAGUGAAACUAGAUAUCAUAAAAUCAGUACCAACUUUCAACGGGAAUCAUGAGGAAUAUGUGUCAGGGAGACAAUCUGCUCUAGAUGCGUACGAAGUUUUCAAAAACUACACUGUUAGUCAGACACACUACGAGGCUGUGGCCAUCAUAAAAAAUAAAAUCCGUGGAACAGCUCGAGCAUUGCUCACAUCGCACAACACGGUGCUCAAUUUUGAUGCAAUCAUAGCUAGACUUGAUUGCACAUAUGCGGACAGAACAUCCCUACGAGUAUUACGUCAACACUUGGAAAUGGAAUAUUAUGACGAAGUCAAGUGAAAGCUAACGCUCGUCACUAACAAAUUGGCCAUAACUCAUAAUGAGGAGGCAGCUACCAUUCUCAACGAGGAAAUCAGGAAUGAUGCUUUACACGCAUUCAUAGCGGACCUCAAGAGGCAGCUAAAAUUGUUCAUUCUCCCGGCACAGCCCAAGGAUUUGCCAUCCGCCUUAGCUCUAGCUCGCGAGACCGAAAAAAGCAUUGAGAGAAGCGCAUUUUCCGCUACUUAUGCAAAGGCGAUCGAGGAAAAAAACCAUUCAGGCGACGGCAAUAUACAGGCCAGGCAAGGUAGAGGUCAGGAAAAGAACCCACAUUUUGUGGGAAAAAGUAAUCAAAAUAGGCAGCAACAGGGUGAUCCUUGGCCAAAGCCAAACGAUAAAGAGGCCCCACAACAAAACCAAGUGCAGCCUGAGAAGGUUGACCCAUCGAUGUCUAGGUUUAGGCAACAGACCAAGUGGGGGAAAACACAGAGCGAACAUGUCAGAUCGUAUAUCUGGGCAAAGACGCCAACGGAUAACUAAUAUAAUACAUCAGGCCCCUAACCAAGGGGAACAAGAAUAUGAAAACUUAGCCGAGACCGCGGUUGCGGAUAUUGACGAAGAAAGUGACUCGGCAAUUGCCGUUCGUCGAGCGACAGUUGGCUGGCAGAACACUAAACAUUUUAAUCGUAAAGCCCGUAAAGGAGCUGAAAAACGUAACUUCGGUCGACACCCCCUUCACCGUGAGCUGGAUACAUGGCUACAUGGAUACAGGGAUACAGGAUAGAGGGAAAUCGACGAUGUUCUACGAGAACAAAUUGGGAAAAUAUGUUAUGUCUAUGUAGAUGAUGUAAUAAUUUUUCCGAAAACGAAAAUGAUCACGUUAAACACAUCGACACAGUGCUACAACGACUCUGCGAUGCAAACAUGAGAGUGGCCCCAGAAAAGAAAAAGUUCUUUAAAGAAAGCGUAGAGUUCUUAGGCUUCAUAGUUACCAAGGGAGGAGCCAAGACCGACCCAGAAAAAGUAAGGGCAAUAAAGGAAUACACUGAACCCAAAACCUGGUUCAGUCCCAGGUCCUUCCUCGGGCUGGCGAGCUAUUACAGGAGCUUCGUCAGAGAUUUCGCGACAAUAGCGAGACCCUUAACCGCAUUACUCAAAGGAGAAAAUGGCAGUCAGUCCAAGAAAGUUGAGAUUCUGUUCGGUGAAACGCAACGCAACGAAUUCGACCGUCUGCGA